Molecule: unclassified non-coding RNA, 295 nt
Filed under: Hevea brasiliensis (rubber tree)
Lineage: Eukaryota; Viridiplantae; Streptophyta; Magnoliopsida; Malpighiales; Euphorbiaceae
Source: RNAcentral
AUUUACCCUUUUUCUCAUGUGUCAUAUCCUAACUAGAGUUCUUAGGAAGCGAAAGCACAUUCUUCUAUGCCUCUCUCUUCUGCCCAUACAACAAAGUUGCCUGCAGAAGAAGAGAAUCUUUACCCAAGUGUAUGCAGAUUACAAGGAUUUCAAGUUCUUGCCCAAUGAACUUGUUUUUACUCCACAGAAUAGCUAUGCUUUGCUCAAAAGGAUUUCAAGUUCCAUCCUUUAUUAGUUAUUACCACCAAAUAUAUUCAUAUAAAAAUACACAGCCCUGAAAAAUACCAAACAGAUU